Molecule: long non-coding RNA, 1828 nt
Organism: Cottoperca gobio
Lineage: Eukaryota; Metazoa; Chordata; Actinopteri; Perciformes; Bovichtidae
Source: Ensembl
GGAGACGUGUGUGUGUGUGUGUGUGUGUGUGUGUGUGUAUAAAGUUUUAAUUUUGACUGUGUGAGAGAGAGGGGAGGAAGAGAGUAAGGGAGCACUGAGACAGGCUGAGAACAAAAGAGAGAAAGGGGGGGGGGGGGGGUGUGCAUAUGUGACUGUGUAUGAUGUGGCUUUUUGCAGUAACAUAGUAACAUUUUUGGCUCUUAACCUCUGACUGGUUGGCCACCCCUGGUCUACUCUGUAGGCCUCCAGCCCGGCCUCCCGAGCGACUACUCCGUCGGCCUCCAGCCCGGCCUCCCGAGGUUUGUCAUGAUCUUGGUUUCUGUUUCCUGUUUUUUUUAAAUGUUCCCUUCCCCUUGUGUCAUGUCUGGUAUUACUUCCUGCCCUUGUGUUUUCUGCCUUUCUCCCCCAGCUGUGUCUCGUUCCCUCAUUUCGUGUCUGUGUAUAUAUCCCUGUCUGUCUCAGUGUUCUUUGUCUGAUUGUGAUUCAUGUUACGUGUUUGUUACCUGCCCAUGUCUACCCGUAUCUGCCUGUUCGUGUCCUGCUCGUCCCCUGAUUGUUGGAGCACGGCUACACAGGAAGUGCGGUCCCCAGUGAUGUGGAUCUAUAGUCCUGAAGGCUCGGGAGUAGCAGGAUGUUGUUCGACCUGAUGGUGUGCAUGGAGAGUUUGUGGGGUUCAAGGUUUCUUGAGGCAAGGUUUGUUUUUCUUUGCACUGUGAAGUCAGGACAUCACGUUUGAAUUCUGUCCUGCAGGAGACAGAAAACCAGAGCUGUGGUGCUGGACUCUGAGAAAUGUAUUGUUUACAUGUUCUUGUCAGCACUGAUCUGGAUGUACUGGAGCUCCUGGAGACUUAUGCAAGACAUAACAACACAUAUACCUGAAGGGGAUAAAAGCCCUCAACCUGCUUCGCUGACUGACAAAUGGCCUUCAGAUGGUGAAAGGACGCUUUCAAGAGUUGCAUUGUGGCUAUAAAAAAGCUUGUGGUUGAUCAAUAGAGAAAACAAAGUAACUGUUCCAUCAUGUUUAAUCAGGAAGUUGUUCGUGAUGCAACGCAAAGAUUUUUGGACAUGUCAGUUGGGACCUCUCAAAGUUUCUGAAAGUGGUACUGUAGGACAAAGCCUCUGGUGUAAAGGUUGGCAUCUUAAAAUGAGGGCUGCAGAAAGAGUUUUAAAGGAUUGAUUACUUGAACAAUUUUGAUGUUUCUAAUUGAAUGAAAAUUCCCCAAUCGAUCUUUUAGUGACAUCAGUUAUUUAUUAGAUGGCUGGAGGCAAAAUGACAAAGCUGCAGAUGUGAUACGCUGCAAUGACUCGAUGUCAUUGUAAAUGAGGGUCACCCCUCAAUGAUGUCUCGAGUAUAAAUAAAGGUUGAGUGAUUGAAUUCAUUCGCCAAAGAAAGAGACCAAGCAAGAAGUUAAAGAUGCAUUUGAGUGAUAGUAUUUGUUUUCUUCAAUUUUUAUAUAGAUAUCCCAAAGAUACUGUUAUCGUGAAUCUUUUUGGCCACCAUAAUCUGAUAUUGUGACAGACCUGCUUCAAUUUCUACAAGCAGAUUUUGUAGUAAAAUAUGUUGCCACGGGCUGUUUUGUAACUUGGUGAAUACAUUCAUUAAAAACAUUUAUCCUCCUUAUGCUGAUUUGUUUUGCAAAUUAGUGUGUGUGUGUAUAUAUAAUGGUAAUUUAUAGGAGACAGGGUUGCUAGAACACACGAUGCAGCGAAACACAAGAAAUUGUCUUCUCAAAGAGAGGUGAAUAAAAGUAAAUUGGGUUACUUUGGCUUGUUGCUGUAGGAUAGUAGAUAUAAUGUUAUUUGAAAUUGGGUUUAAGACUGAGCUGAC